This 552-nucleotide ribosomal RNA is filed under the name Phomopsis sp. C3P42D. RNAcentral's name for it is "eukaryotic LSU rRNA". The stretch from base 193 to 346 matches the Rfam family "5.8S ribosomal RNA". Lineage: Eukaryota; Fungi; Ascomycota; Sordariomycetes; Diaporthales; Diaporthaceae. The record is from RNAcentral.
CCUGCGGAGGGAUCAUUGCUGGAACGCGCUUCGGCGCACCCAGAAACCCUUUGUGAACUUAUACCUAUUGUUGCCUCGGCGUAGGCCGGCCUCUUCACUGAGGCCCCCUGGAAACAGGGAGCAGCCCGCCGGCGGCCAACCAAACUCUUGUUUCUAUAGUGAAUCUCUGAGUAAAAAACAUAAAUGAAUCAAAACUUUCAACAACGGAUCUCUUGGUUCUGGCAUCGAUGAAGAACGCAGCGAAAUGCGAUAAGUAAUGUGAAUUGCAGAAUUCAGUGAAUCAUCGAAUCUUUGAACGCACAUUGCGCCCUCUGGUAUUCCGGAGGGCAUGCCUGUUCGAGCGUCAUUUCAACCCUCAAGCCUGGCUUGGUGAUGGGGCACUGCCUGUAAAAGGGCAGGCCCUGAAAUCUAGUGGCGAGCUCGCCAGGACCCCGAGCGUAGUAGUUAUAUCUCGCUCUGGAAGGCCCUGGCGGUGCCCUGCCGUUAAACCCCCAACUUCUGAAAAUUUGACCUCGGAUCAGGUAGGAAUACCCGCUGAACUUAAGCAUAUCA